This is a long non-coding RNA of Cucumis sativus (cucumber), 1435 nucleotides long. RefSeq lists it as uncharacterized. NCBI's taxonomy places the organism in Eukaryota, Viridiplantae, Streptophyta, Magnoliopsida, Cucurbitales, Cucurbitaceae. The record is from RefSeq and is a predicted model, not a curated record. The transcript is spliced from 2 exons.
UUAGAUAAAGACUUAGAAAAUGGAAGCACAGCCUCAUGUGUCAAUGUUGAAAGAGAAAUUGGAGAAUAUUGACAUUAGGCCAAUAGAAAGGUGACAAAGAAGAUAAGAAUGUUUGACAUUAGGGAAGUAGACAAAAUGUGGGUAUAUGAAAUUUGGGAGGAUAUGUUGGGAAUUUUUUUUUUUUUUUAAAAAAAAUUAUGUUAAUUAGCAAGCUAUGAGGAAUUUGAUAAUGGGGUUUUUUGUUGAACAAAAAAAUGGGAGGUUUGGAUGAAGAAGAAACCAGUUUGAGAGCUGAAACCGACUUGAUAUUGGGGUUAGAUGUCAUCAUUAAUGAGAGGAAAUGCCGAUCGUACUAUAUAAGAAAGAAGUCAGAAUGUUUGAUCAAUGAAAAGAAGGAAGGCAAGGUCACAAAGGAAGUGGAAAAAAAAAAAUCCAAUUUGGCGUUUAGAAUUUACUUCAAAAUGUGAUAUAGUAUCAGAAUAUUAAUGGCAUUGAUGAUUGAGGUCUUGGUUGUCGAACCAGAAAUGGUGGGUUGCGUCUUUUAUACGAUAAAGGGGCCUGGAUUUGAGCUAUGACUAGAUUGGGAAAAGAGAAAGAAAGUUAGAUCAUUCACUGUUCAAAUUCAUUCUCUCACUGCCUUGGUUUUGCAGUGGAUCUGUCAUUGUAGGUUUGUUAUCUAUGGCUUCUCUGUUGCCUUCUUUCUCUUCCUUGGUUCUUGUUUAGGCUUCAUGAAGGUAUCAAUGAAGAAAGAAAAAUGGUGUCCAAUGAGAUUGAGAUCUACUUGUCUUGCCCUGUCAGUGGUCAACACUUCCUUUCACCAGGCCUCUAAUUAUGUCUUGUUUAACUUUGCUUUAAUGCACAGUAAUCAGAUCACAGAAAGAUAGUGUUCAUGUAUGAAUUGCUCACGAAAGAGCUACCUUUGGUUUGAUGUGUCGAUGAAGUUAGCGGACAGUGAGCAGAUGCAGAUGAAUUCUUCAAUGAGGUAUGGAUGCAUUCCUGAGAACAAGAGCUUUAACGCAGACGACUCGAUCUGUUGGAAGCGAUACCAUGAACUUCAACACAAUAGUCAUAAGGCAUGCAACUUUUAUAUUAAGUCCACCUCUUUGAGAAGGAUCCAAUGAACGGAAGAUAUCAAGGGCACCUGAAGUUUAUAAUUUUGGAGGAAAAUGUUUGUGUAAAGUAUAGAAAAGCCGGUCAAUGAACUCGCACUUGAAGGUGAUUGGAAUGAGAAAAUAUCUAAAAAGAAUUUGGUUUCCACUCAAACUCCUUGUGGGUCCUAAAGCUGCUGUGAAAUGGGAUGAUGAAACUCACACAGUUCAAACUUUUGUUGAACUCGUAGUUGCACCAUGUUCUAUUCCACUUCUGAUCUCUUUGUAAAUUGAAGAUGAUUGCUUAAAAACUGAAGUUCAAUCAAAUUAAAGUAUUCCAUACUCAA